CCCUUAGAGUUUGAUCCUGGCUCAAGACGAACGCUGGCGGCGUGCUUAACACAUGCAAGUCGAACGAAGAGCGAUGGAAGCUUGCUUCUAUCAAUCUUAGUGGCGAACGGGUGAGUAACGCGUAAUCAACCUGCCCUUCAGAGGGGGACAACAGUUGGAAACGACUGCUAAUACCGCAUACGAUCCAAUCUCGGCAUCGAGGAUGGAUGAAAGGUGGCCUCUAUUUAUAAGCUAUCACUGAAGGAGGGGAUUGCGUCUGAUUAGCUAGUUGGAGGGGUAACGGCCCACCAAGGCGAUGAUCAGUAGCCGGUCUGAGAGGAUGAACGGCCACAUUGGGACUGAGACACGGCCCAGACCCCUACGGGAGGCAGCAGUGGGGAAUCUUCCGCAAUGGACGAAAGUCAGACGGAGCAACGCCGCGUGAGUGAUGACGGCCUUCGGGUUGUAAGCUCUGUUAAAUCGGGACGAAAGGCCUUCUUGCGAAUAGUUAGAAGGAUUGACGGUACCGGAAUAUAAAGCCACGGCUAACUACGUGCCAGCAGACGCGGUAAUACGUAGGUGGCAAGCGUUGUCCGGAAAUUAUUGGGAGUAAAGCGCGCGCAGGCGGAUUGGUCAGUCAGUCUUAAAAGUUCGGGGCUUAACCCCGUGAUGGGAUGGAAACUGCCAAUCUAGAGUAUCGGAGGGGAAAGUGGAAUUCCUAGUGUAGCGGUGAAAUGCGUAGAUAUUAGGAAGAACACCAGUGGCGAAGGCGACUUUCUGGACGAAAACUGACGCUGAGGCGCGAAAGCCAGGGGAGCGAACGGGAUUAGAGACCCCGGUAGUCCUGGCCGU
Molecule: ribosomal RNA, 831 nt
Filed under: uncultured organism
Description: SSU rRNA
Rfam family: Bacterial small subunit ribosomal RNA
Source: RNAcentral